AGAGGGUGCAAACGUUGUUCGGAAUUACUGGGCGUAAAGCGCGUGUAGGCGGCUAUGCAAGUCGGAUGUGAAAGCCCUCGGCUCAACCGGGGAAGUGCACCCGAAACUGCAAAGCUAGAGUCUCGGAGAGGAUCGUGGAAUUCUCGGUGUAGAGGUGAAAUUCGUAGAUAUCGAGAGGAACACCGGUGGCGAAGGCGGCGAUCUGGACGAUGACUGACGCUGAGACGCGAAAGCGUGGGGAGCAAACAGGAUUAGAUACCCUGGUAGUCCACGCCGUAAACGAUGGGUGCUAGGUGUCGCGGGCUUUGACCCCUGCGGUGCCGCAGCUAACGCAUUAAGCACCCCGCCUGGGAAGUACGGCCGCAAGGCUAAA
This 373-nucleotide ribosomal RNA is filed under the name uncultured bacterium. RNAcentral's name for it is "bacterial SSU rRNA". It matches the Rfam family "Bacterial small subunit ribosomal RNA", at positions 527 to 898 of the family's 1533-position model. The record is from RNAcentral.